RNAcentral lists this ribosomal RNA (230 nucleotides) under uncultured bacterium. Its description in RNAcentral is "partial 16S ribosomal RNA". It matches the Rfam family "Bacterial small subunit ribosomal RNA", at positions 335 to 579 of the family's 1533-position model. The record is from RNAcentral.
AAGCCUACGGGAGGCAGCAGUGGGGAAUAUUGGGCAAUGGGCGCAAGCCUGACCCAGCAACGCCGCGUGAAGGAAGAAGGCUUUCGGGUUGUAAACUUCUCUUGUCAGGGACGAAGCAAGUGACGGUACCUGACGAAUAAGCCACGGCUAACUACGUGCAAGCAGCCGCGGCAAUACGUAGGUGGCAAGCGUUAUACGGAUUUAUUGGGUGUAAAGGGCGUGUAGGCGGG